GAAGCAGGACAUCUCAGAUGCAGGUUAUAUUUCUCUCCCUCUCUCUCAACUUCCUUCUCCCAAAACCGUCAUUAAGCUGCAAAAUUCUCUUUUCUCAUGCUACAUCCCAGUUUCCUGGAGAUCUUUUUCUGUUCAAUUCCUAAGGUUAUGCUGAAACCUAAUCAGGCUAUCAUGUCUUUUGGCAUUCUUGUCUUCUUGGGAUUGCACUACACAAAUAUUCUUCAUUUCAUUCUAGGGCCAUCUAAUCUUCUUCAUAGUUGUUCCUUGGUGCAUCUUCUCAUGAAUGAAUUCAUAUUUACAGGUUCACUGUUAUUAUUUAUUUAUUUAUGUGACAUAAUACCUACUAGUCUUUGUUUUGAUAUUCCUGACUGGUUUCCCUUUCUGCCCUGCAUUUCUUUUUCGGUCUUAGUGGAGCUGAAAUUGGAAGAUUUGUUGCCAUGCUACGAAAUUCCUCUUCCAUACUCAAGGCUUGUGCUGCAUUUGCUCUUCUCCAGUUUACCAUUCCUGGAGGCCGGCAUGCUAUGCACCAUGCA
This 533-nucleotide unclassified non-coding RNA is filed under the name Hevea brasiliensis (rubber tree). The record is from RNAcentral. Lineage: Eukaryota; Viridiplantae; Streptophyta; Magnoliopsida; Malpighiales; Euphorbiaceae.